RNAcentral lists this transfer RNA (69 nucleotides) under Amphiprion bicinctus (twoband anemonefish). RNAcentral's name for it is "tRNA-Arg". It matches the Rfam family "tRNA". Rfam says of the family: Transfer RNA (tRNA) molecules are approximately 80 nucleotides in length. Their secondary structure includes four short double-helical elements and three loops (D, anti-codon, and T loops). Further hydrogen bonds mediate the characteristic L-shaped molecular structure. tRNAs have two regions of fundamental functional importance: the anti-codon, which is responsible for specific mRNA codon recognition, and the 3' end, to which the tRNAs corresponding amino acid is attached (by aminoacyl-tRNA synthetases). tRNAs cope with the degeneracy of the genetic code in two manners: having more than one tRNA (with a specific anti-codon) for a particular amino acid; and 'wobble' base-pairing, i.e. permitting non-standard base-pairing at the 3rd anti-codon position. Lineage: Eukaryota; Metazoa; Chordata; Actinopteri; Pomacentridae. The record is from RNAcentral.
AGACAGUUAGUUUAAAUAAAACCUUUGAUUUCGGCUCAAAAACUUGUGGUUAAAGCCCAUAACUGUUUA